AGUGGCGGACGGGUGAGUAACGCGUAAGAAUCUAACUUCAGGACGGGGACAACAGUGGGAAACGACUGCUAAUACCCGAUGUGCCGCGAGGUGAAACCUAAUUGGCCUGAAGAAGAGCUUGCGUCUGAUUAGCUAGUUGGUGGGGUAAGAGCCUACCAAGGCGACGAUCAGUAGCUGGUCUGAGAGGAUGAGCAGCCACACUGGGACUGAGACACGGCCCAGACUCCUACGGGAGGCAGCAGUGGGGAAUUUUCCGCAAUGGGCGAAAGCCUGACGGAGCAACGCCGCGUGAGGGAGGAAGGUCUUUGGAUUGUAAACCUCUUUUCUCAAGGAAGAAGUUCUGACGGUACUUGAGGAAUCAGCCUCGGCUAACUCCGUGCCAGCAGCCGCGGUAAUACGGGGGAGGCAAGCGUUAUCCUGAAUUAUUGGGCGUAAAGCGUCCGCAGGUGGUCAGCCAAGUCUGCCGUCAAAUCAGGUUGCUUAACGACCUAAAGGCGGUGGAAACUGGCAGACUAGAGAGCAGUAGGGGUAGCAGGAAUUCCCAGUGUAGCGGUGAAAUGCGUAGAGAUUGGGAAGAACAUCGGUGGCGAAAGCGUGCUACUGGGCUGUAUCUGACACUCAGGGACGAAAGCUAGGGGAGCGAAAGGGAUUAGAUACCCCUGUAGUCCUAGCCGUAAACGAUGGAUACUAGGCGUGGCUU
Molecule: ribosomal RNA, 700 nt
Filed under: uncultured bacterium
Lineage: Bacteria
Description: bacterial SSU rRNA
Rfam family: Bacterial small subunit ribosomal RNA
Source: RNAcentral